GUCCACGCCGUAAACUAUGAAUGCUAGCCGUUGGGCAGCUCGCUGUUCAGUGGCGCAGCUAACGCAUUAAGCAUUCCGCCUGGGGAGUACGGCCGCAAGGUUGAAACUCAAAGGAAUUGACGGGGGCCCGCACAAGCGGUGGAGCAUGUGGUUUAAUUCGACGCAACGCGCAGAACCUUACCAGGGUUUGACAUCCCAAGACCGCUCUUGAAAGAGAGUUUUCCCGCAAGGGACUUGGAGACAGGUGCUGCAUGGCUGUCGU
Molecule: ribosomal RNA, 262 nt
Filed under: uncultured bacterium
Lineage: Bacteria
Description: partial 16S ribosomal RNA
Rfam family: Bacterial small subunit ribosomal RNA
Source: RNAcentral